This 607-nucleotide ribosomal RNA is filed under the name Cellulosimicrobium sp. RNAcentral describes it as "bacterial SSU rRNA". It matches the Rfam family "Bacterial small subunit ribosomal RNA", at positions 752 to 1356 of the family's 1533-position model. The record is from RNAcentral. Lineage: Bacteria; Bacillati; Actinomycetota; Actinomycetes; Micrococcales; Promicromonosporaceae.
AGCGAAAGCAUGGGGAGCGAACAGGAUUAGAUACCCUGGUAGUCCAUGCCGUAAACGUUGGGCACUAGGUGUGGGGCUCAUUCCACGAGUUCCGUGCCGCAGCAAACGCAUUAAGUGCCCCGCCUGGGGAGUACGGCCGCAAGGCUAAAACUCAAAGGAAUUGACGGGGGCCCGCACAAGCGGCGGAGCAUGCGGAUUAAUUCGAUGCAACGCGAAGAACCUUACCAAGGCUUGACAUGCACGAGAAGCCACCAGAGAUGGUGGUCUCUUUGGACACUCGUGCACAGGUGGUGCAUGGUUGUCGUCAGCUCGUGUCGUGAGAUGUUGGGUUAAGUCCCGCAACGAGCGCAACCCUCGUCCCAUGUUGCCAGCGGGUUAUGCCGGGGACUCAUGGGAGACUGCCGGGGUCAACUCGGAGGAAGGUGGGGAUGACGUCAAAUCAUCAUGCCCCUUAUGUCUUGGGCUUCACGCAUGCUACAAUGGCCGGUACAAAGGGCUGCGAUACCGUAAGGUGGAGCGAAUCCCAAAAAGCCGGUCUCAGUUCGGAUUGGGGUCUGCAACUCGACCCCAUGAAGUCGGAGUCGCUAGUAAUCGCAGAUCAGCAACG